This 491-nucleotide ribosomal RNA is filed under the name uncultured bacterium. RNAcentral describes it as "partial 16S ribosomal RNA". It matches the Rfam family "Bacterial small subunit ribosomal RNA", at positions 29 to 506 of the family's 1533-position model. The record is from RNAcentral.
AGUGAACGCUGGCGGUAGGCCUAACACAUGCAAGUCGAACGGCAGCACAGUAAGAGCUUGCUCUUACGGGUGGCGAGUGGCGGACGGGUGAGGAAUACAUCGGAAUCUACUUUUUCGUGGGGGAUAACGUAGGGAAACUUACGCUAAUACCGCAUACGACCUACGGGUGAAAGCAGGGGAUCUUCGGACCUUGCGCGAUUGAAUGAGCCGAUGUCGGAUUAGCUAGUUGGCGGGGUAAAGGCCCACCAAGGCGACGAUCCGUAGCUGGUCUGAGAGGAUGAUCAGCCACACUGGAACUGAGACACGGUCCAGACUCCUACGGGAGGCAGCAGUGGGGAAUAUUGGACAAUGGGCGCAAGCCUGAUCCGGCCAUACCGCGUGGGUGAAGAAGGCCUUCGGGUUGUAAAGCCCUUUUGUUGGGAAAGAAAAGCAGCAGGUUAAUACCCCGCUGUUCUGACGGUACCCAAAGAAUAAGCACCGGCUAACUGCGU